GUAUCUCCACCCUUCAUAUAAAUUAAAAAGUAUACGCUUUCACUUUUGCAUUAGAAUUGCUUUCUAUAAAGUAAAAAAGUUGCUUUUGAGAAUACUGGAGAUGAGUGACACUUGACACAGAGGCGGAACUAUAAUUGAAUCCCGUAUUCUUGCUGCUUUUUUUUCAGUUUUAUACAAAUUAUACCCCUAAAUAAAGUACGAGGAUACCCCUAAAUAAAAUAUGAGGAUAUCCUUAACUAAAAAAUAGGAUACUUGAUAUUGCUAAAACUUGUAGAAUAAUUAAGUCUGAAUGAUAAAAUAAGCCCAAAUUUUAAUAAUAAAAGAAUUGAAAGAAAACCUUAAAUAUAAUUGAUAAAGUUAGCCAAAAACCCAAACAAUAAUCUAUUAAGUAUUUGUUUUACUUUAUUUAUUAUCGUUUUUUUAUUAUUGUAUGAUUGCACGGUAAAAAAAAAUUGAGAUACUCCUAAAUUAAUGGGCUAGCUCCGCCACUGACUUGACAAGUCUUUGUUUCAGCAACAAACUCUAAGGUCAUGAGUAUAUGUAUUGUUUAGAUUCAAAAAUGAUGGUCGUGUAUGGUGACAAUAUAUAACUUGAUAUGACAAACAUAAUCAGGUUUUAUGUUGUCAUUUCUAACGUGUUUUUGAACUUAACGACUUGUGUUUUGAGUAACUUGUUUAACUAAGUGGUUCGUAUCUGGAUUGUAUUGAAAUAAAACCGGUUGGUUCGUGUCUCUGUGAUAUAUCCAUUUAAUAUUAGAAAUUUAGAGUUAAAAGAAAUGAAUAAGUUCAACCUGUCAAGUUGUUUACAACAUGGUUACAACUCGUUAACUCAUUUGUAAUCUUGAAUAUGCUUAACCAAUUUAGAAAAUAAGUGACCGAUUUUAAGUGUAUAUGGGUUAAAUUUAGUUCUGGUACAUGAAUAAAUACGACCGUAGCAGUGGCGGACCCAUGAAUUAUUUGCUGAGGUGCGGAUGAGGGGUUUCUAACCACAUUUUGCAAGGGUUGCCGUGGGGUUUUUUUGCCUAAAAUAUACACUAUUUUUUUCAAAGGGUACGUUCGUACACCCACAACAUCAAGUAGGCCCGCCCCUAGAUCGUAGUCGAGUUGUUUAUUUUUAGCCCGUCUAACCUACACGAGUGAUACAUGAUCAUUCCUCGAAGUAUCAUUCUAUUCUAAAAGCUAAUAAAUGUAGUGGUUGGUGAAUAUACGAGUAUAGUCAAUAUCGUCAUCUUGACUGAGUUUGGCAUAUGUGUCGCCUUGUGAUUAAAAAAAAAGCUCAAGAGUUUCGCAUGCUUUUGUGAC
Molecule: long non-coding RNA, 1301 nt
Filed under: Helianthus annuus (common sunflower)
Lineage: Eukaryota; Viridiplantae; Streptophyta; Magnoliopsida; Asterales; Asteraceae
Description: hypothetical non coding rna
Source: RNAcentral